UGCCAGCAGCCGCGGUAAUACAGAGGGUGCAAGCGUUAAUCGGAAUUACUGGGCGUAAAGGGUGUGUAGGUGGUUUGUUGAGUUCACUGUGAAAGUUCUAGGCUUAACCUGGAAAAGUCGGUGAAGACGGACAAACUAGAGAACAGGAGAGGGCAGAGGAAUUUCCGGAGUAGCGGUGAAAUGCGUAGAUACCGGAAGGAACACCAGUGGCGAAGGCGUCUGUCUGGUCUGUUUCUGACACUGAAACACGAAGGCGUGGGUAGCAAACAGGAUUAGAUA
RNAcentral lists this ribosomal RNA (279 nucleotides) under uncultured bacterium. RNAcentral's name for it is "partial 16S ribosomal RNA". It matches the Rfam family "Bacterial small subunit ribosomal RNA", at positions 506 to 784 of the family's 1533-position model. The record is from RNAcentral.